GGGGGGGGGGGGGGGGGGGGGGGGGGGGGGGGGGGGGGGGGGGGGGGGGGGGGGGGGGCGCCGGGGGCGGGGGCGGCGGACGGGUGGGUAGCGCGUGGCUAGCCUACCUGUGAGACUGGGCUCACUUCGGGGGACCGGAGCUAAUACCGGCUACUAUAUUGAACCGCAUGGGUCAAUAGUGAACGCCGGUUUUGCUGUCACUUAUCGAUGGAUCCGCGCCGCAUUAGCUAGUUGGUAAGGUAACGGCUUACCAAGGCAACGAUGCGUAGCCGACCUGAGAGGGUGAUCGGCCACACUGGAACUGAGACACGGUCCAGACUCCUACGGGAGGCAGCAGUAGGGAAUCUUCCGCAAUGGGCGAAAGCCUGACGGAGCAACGCCGCGUGAGUGAUGAAGGUCUUCGGAUCGUAAAACUCUGUUAGUAGGGAAGAACAAAUGUGUAAGUAACUAUGCACGUCUUGACGGUACCUAAUCAGAAAGCCACGGCUAACUACGUG
Molecule: ribosomal RNA, 497 nt
Filed under: uncultured bacterium
Lineage: Bacteria
Description: partial 16S ribosomal RNA
Rfam family: Bacterial small subunit ribosomal RNA (bases 52-497)
Source: RNAcentral